AACAUGUAGUCAAUAUUUUGUCAUAUUAGUGUUAAUAUUUACAGAUAAGGGUUGUUUUUGAUCUGGUUGUAGGUCAUCCACUGUUUUUCUGACAUAUACCUCCAGGAGCCAUGCUGAUGAGUGGGGAGCUAAUCCCUUCUUCAGAACACAGCUCAUUUUCAAGUGGCUGCUGCUGUUUCUCCCCCACCCCUUCAGUGCGACAGCCUCAGAGCUGGUGGAAAGGCAGAGCGCAGGCAGCUGGAUAAAUUUGUAGACGUGGAAUUUCCGGAUCAAAUGGUAUGAACCAGUUUAAGAUUUGUCCUCCACCGCCUCCUUAAACACUAUCGCCUAAUUUAUUUAUCAUAUGUGGUGACAACAUUAUUUCCCAGUUGUUGUUUGCCUAUUGAUUUUGUACCAUUCAUGCAGCUUUUUUUUUUUCUCCCCAUGUUGCGGCCUUAUAGUUUUAGAUAUCCACAGCUAUCAAUUUUCUGAUUUGG
This 476-nucleotide long non-coding RNA is filed under the name Felis catus (domestic cat). RNAcentral's name for it is "lncRNA (ENSFCAG00000052144.1)". Lineage: Eukaryota; Metazoa; Chordata; Mammalia; Carnivora; Felidae. The record is from RNAcentral.